CACGAACCGGACAGACGUUAUUCGGAAUUACUGGGCGUAAAGCGCGCGUAGGUGGCUUGAUAAGCCGGUUGUGAAAGCCCCGGGCUCAACCUGGGAAUGGCAUCCGGAACUGUUUGGCUAGAGUGCAGAAGAGGAAGGUAGAAUUCCCGGUGUAGCGGUGAAAUGCGUAGAGAUCGGGAGGAAUACCAGUGGCGAAGGCGGCCUUCUGGACUGACACUGACACUGAGGUGCGAAAGCGUGGGUAGCAAACAGG
RNAcentral lists this unclassified non-coding RNA (253 nucleotides) under uncultured Halomonadaceae bacterium. Its description in RNAcentral is "contains 16S-23S intergenic spacer region". It matches the Rfam family "Bacterial small subunit ribosomal RNA", at positions 524 to 776 of the family's 1533-position model. Lineage: Bacteria; Pseudomonadati; Pseudomonadota; Gammaproteobacteria; Oceanospirillales; Halomonadaceae. The record is from RNAcentral.